RNAcentral lists this ribosomal RNA (502 nucleotides) under uncultured bacterium. Its description in RNAcentral is "partial 16S ribosomal RNA". It matches the Rfam family "Bacterial small subunit ribosomal RNA", at positions 30 to 523 of the family's 1533-position model. The record is from RNAcentral.
AUUGAACGCUGGCGGCGUGCUUAACACAUGCAAGUCGAGCGGUAACAGGUGUAGCAAUACAUGCUGACGAGCGGCGAACGGGUGAGUAAUGCUUCGGAAUCUUCCUCGUAGUGGGGAAUAACCUGGGGAAACUCAGGCUAAUACCGCAUACGAACUACGGUGGAAAGCAGGGGAUCGCAAGACCUUGCGCUAUGAGAUGAGCCGAAGUCGGAUUAGCUAGUUGGUGAGGUAAAGGCUCACCAAGGCGACGAUCCGUAGCUGGUCUGAGAGGACGACCAACCACACUGGGACUGAGACACGGCCCAGACUCCUACGGGAGGCAGCAGUGGGGAAUAUUGGACAAUGGGGGCAACCCUGAUCCAGCGACGCCGCGUGUGUGAAGAAGGCCUGCGGGUUGUAAAGCACUUUUAGUGGGGAUGAAAAGCCGAAGGCUAAUACCUUUCGGUCUUGACCUAACCCAAAGAAAAAGCACCGGCUAACUCUGUGCCAGCCGCCGCGGUAA